RNAcentral lists this ribosomal RNA (1263 nucleotides) under Vibrio parahaemolyticus. RNAcentral describes it as "partial 23S ribosomal RNA". It matches the Rfam family "Bacterial large subunit ribosomal RNA", at positions 42 to 1359 of the family's 2925-position model. Lineage: Bacteria; Pseudomonadati; Pseudomonadota; Gammaproteobacteria; Vibrionales; Vibrionaceae. The record is from RNAcentral.
AGAGGCGAUGAAAGACGUAGUAACUUGCGAUAAGCCCAGAUUAGGUAGUAACAACCAUUUGAGUCUGGGAUUUCUGAAUGGGGAAACCCACGUGCAUAAGCACGUAUCCUUACCUGAAUACAUAGGGUAAGGAGGCGAACCGGGGGAACUGAAACAUCUAAGUACCCCGAGGAAAAGAAAUCAACCGAGAUUCCGAAAGUAGCGGCGAGCGAAAUUGGACUAGCCCUUAAGCUUUACACGCGUUAGACGAACGGUCUGGAAAGUCCGACGAUACAGGGUGAUAGUCCCGUAGUUGACGACGUGUGUUCAGUGAAAUCGAGUAGGGCGGGACACGUGAUAUCCUGUCUGAAUAUGGGGGGACCAUCCUCCAAGGCUAAAUACUACUGACUGACCGAUAGUGAACCAGUACCGUGAGGGAAAGGCGAAAAGAACCCCUGUGAGGGGAGUGAAAUAGAACCUGAAACCGUGUACGUACAAGCAGUAGGAGCAGGCUUUGUCCUGUGACUGCGUACCUUUUGUAUAAUGGGUCAGCGACUUAUAUUCAGUGGCAAGGUUAACCAUCUAGGGGAGCCGUAGGGAAACCGAGUCUUAACUGGGCGUUCAGUCUCUGGAUAUAGACCCGAAACCAGGUGAUCUAGCCAUGGGCAGGUUGAAGGUUGAGUAACAUCAACUGGAGGACCGAACCGACUAAUGUUGAAAAAUUAGCGGAUGACUUGUGGCUAGGGGUGAAAGGCCAAUCAAACCUGGAGAUAGCUGGUUCUCCCCGAAAGCUAUUUAGGUAGCGCCUCGGACGAAUACUACUGGGGGUAGAGCACUGUUAAGGCUAGGGGGUCAUCCCGACUUACCAACCCUUUGCAAACUCCGAAUACCAGUAAGUACUAUCCGGGAGACACACGGCGGGUGCUAACGUCCGUCGUGGAGAGGGAAACAACCCAGACCGCCAGCUAAGGUCCCAAAUUACUACUAAGUGGGAAACGAUGUGGGAAGGCUCAGACAGCCAGGAUGUUGGCUUAGAAGCAGCCAUCAUUUAAAGAAAGCGUAAUAGCUCACUGGUCGAGUCGGCCUGCGCGGAAGAUGUAACGGGGCUAAGUAGUAAACCGAAGCUGCGGCAAUGUGCUUUUGCACAUUGGGUAGGGGAGCGUUCUGUAAGCGGUUGAAGGUGUGUGGUAACGCAUGCUGGACGUAUCAGAAGUGCGAAUGCUGACAUGAGUAACGAUAAAGGGGGUGAAAAACCUCCUCGCCGGAAGACCAAGGGUUCCUGUC